GAUUUUUUUUUUCCUUCUUCUAUUAUUGCUGUGGUUGAGUGCAUCUGGUCCUUUAGCCUGCUUGUGCGUUUUUUAAAAGAGAAAGAGGAGUGGUCUGCCAUUGGUUGAAGCUGGAAAUAGGAGAACUCCUCUCCCUGUUCUGUCGGCUUCUUCUCGUUCUCUCCCUCCUCUGUUACUGUUGGUACUUAAGGGUGUCUAGAGGAAGAGGAACUUGAUAAAAGUGAUAAGGAGUAAGCUAUAGAGGUUGGAAAGGCUUAUCAGAUGGUAUAGUUGAACUCGUGACUCGAGAUAUCCACUGAGGAGUUUUAUUGCUGAAUUGAAGUAGAAGAAUUAUUUUAGUCAAAUCCUAAUUUGAUGAAAAAUUUAAACUUUAUACCUACGUUGGCGUCUGGCCUUAGGUGCUCCACAUAGACUACAGGUAGGAUCCUUAUAUUUCUUUUAAAGUUGAAUAUUUGAAUUAAUAUUGUAACAAUUUCUAAUUACUCUAUUAGUGUGUUUAACGUAUUAAUUUCAGAGUUUCUUCGAUCAAGG
This is a long non-coding RNA of Prosopis cineraria, 531 nucleotides long. RefSeq lists it as uncharacterized. The record is from RefSeq and is a predicted model, not a curated record. The transcript is spliced from 3 exons. Lineage: Eukaryota; Viridiplantae; Streptophyta; Magnoliopsida; Fabales; Fabaceae.